AUACAGAAGGUUGGGCUGAUACCCUUUAUAUCUGCCAUGGUCCAGACAAUGGAGGUCUUACUUUCAUGCAGUACUUGUAAGCGUUAUUAUACCUACACAUCUGGCAAACUGGAUGAGAUAAUAACAUGCAAAGUAGAAUCAUGGCUUAGGAAAACAUACCUGAGGUGAACUAGGAGCGGCUUUAGCUCCAGCUUGGGUGGUUCCUCUACUGAUGGCUUCGCUGGAGGUGUUGCCCUUUUUUCUAACUCAGGGGACUCGAACCGAGGUUCCCUUUUCAAGAAUCCUUUGCCUUCAAGUGCCAUAACCCACUCAGCUAACCCUUCACCAUUCAUCUCUUUUAAAUUUGUCAGACAUGCCUCUAAUGGAUCUUUAGAAUUCAGGGUUAUAUCAUCUUCUUGCAGGAUCACAUAACCUGCCUCCAUUAGAGAGCAAUUAGCAUAUUCACCGGGUCUCCUCAUAGAUUGCUGACAUUGAAUAUGACUUCUUCAUUGUUCAAUCUCAUUUUUAAUUCCCCAGUCUCACAAUCGAUCAAUGCUCUCCCAGUGGCCAAAAAUGGCCUACCUAAAAUGAUAAGUAUCUCCUCAUCUACCUGACAAUCCAGUAUAACAAAGUCUGCAUGGAACACGAACUUUCCCACUUGUACCAACACAUCAUCAAGAAUCCCAGUAGGCCUUUUUACCUUGCGGUCAGCUAACUGUAGGAGUAUCGAAGUCAGUCUUUCUCUGCCAAUGCCCAGUUUGGUGUAUACUGCCAGAGGCAUCAAGUUUAUGCUGGCUCCCAAAUCACAUAAUGCCUUUUAAUGGCAUAACUCCCAAUUGUCAACGGAAUAGUGAAGCUACCUGGGUCAGACAUCUUUUGAGCCAUCAGUCUGUUCACUACUGCGUUGCAGGUCUGCGGCAGAGUCACUGUGGAUAGGUCCUGAAAAUCAAACUUCCAUGACAUUAGUUCUUUCAUCAUCUUUGCAUAAACUGGAAUCUCCCUCAAAGCAUCUAUUAGGGGAAUAUUCAACUGAAUUUGACACAGCAUCUCCAUGAGUUUCUAGUAUUAAACUUCCUUCUUAUGUUUUACCAGUCUUUGAUAGAAUGGUGCAGCUAUCGCCCAUUGUGCACGCUUGCUUGCUUCUCUCUAUUGGGGUUUUGUGACAUAAGAGGUGUCACCUGUUCAGCAACUGGUUCAUUUACUUUAGCCUUACCAUUUUCAUCUUGCCCCUGUUCAACCACCACUUCAGUCAGAUUUGUUGGUUCAUCUAUCUCUAGUGGAAUUGGAGUGGCUGGCAUAGUUUCUUUGCUGGCUUGUGCAACCUCCUACUCAUUGUCUAAAUCUAUCCCAUUUUAAAGACUUACUGCCAUCACCUGAUUCGGGUUUUUCUUCUCGGGGUUAAUAUUUGUAUCUGUUGGCAAUGUUCCCUGGGGGCGAUUGUUUAAAGCCAUAGAUAACUGUCCCAACUGAGUUUCAAUGUUCUUUACAGUUGAAUCAUGUACUUCCAACUUUUCUUAUAUCUUAUCAUUUGUCCUAAUGAGUUGCUGGAGCAUCCUUUGAUCUCUACCAUAUUGUUAUCUUGCUGCUGAGGAGGUGGCUGAUAUGUCAGCUAUUGCUGGUUCUGUUGUGGGUAGCUCUGUUGUCUCUAGUUGUAUGGCACCAUUUGUUGUGGAGCCUGCAUGCUCCCAGGCUGAGGCAUGUUGAGUUUGUAUUGCUGAGUUGGUGCAGGUCUCCACCAUUUGUCUAAAUCUCUCCCAUUCCGGAGACUAACUGCCAUCAGUUGAUUUGGGUUUUGCUCCUUCGGGUUAAUAUUAGUUUCUUCUGGCAAUGUUCCCUGGGUUCGAUUAUUUAAAGCCAUAGAUAACUGCCUCAACUGAGUAUCAAUGUUCUUUGUAGCUAAAUCAUGUACUGCCAACUUUUCUUGCAUGUUACCAUUUAUCCCAAUGAGUUGCUGGAGCAUCCCUCUGAUCUAUACCAUGUUGUUAUCUUGCUGCUGAGGAGGUGGCUGAUAUGUUAGCUGUUGUUGGUUUUGCUAUGGUUAUCCCUACUGUCUCUGGUUGUAUGGCACCAUUUGGCCUGGAGAAUGCAUGCCCCCAGGCUGAGGCAUGUUGGAUUUGUAUUGCUGAUUUCGUUCUGGUCUCCACUGUGUCCUCCUUGUCUUUCACCCCCAAAAUUCUUAACAUAAAUCAUGUCUUCCCUUUCCCUUGAUUUUCACCUUCUCCGCUCCAUAAACACACAUAAGACUUAUUAACACAUGGUGUACACAGUCCUAUAUUUGUUGUGUCAACAAUAUGCACUUGUUCGGUACCCAUUUCAUCUAUCUUCUUCGUAAAAAUACUCAUCUAAUUCAUGAAUGUGGCCAUUUUCUCUACAUGUGAAUUAUUUGGGUCAAGAGGAACUGAAUGUGCUAUGGGUGUCAGUGUUGUACCUCUAGUCAUCCACCCCGAAUUCUGGGACAUCUUAUCAAGGAGGACUUUGCACUCAGUGAAUGUCUUACUUAAAAAGGCACCUCCAGCUGAACCAUCCAUAUUAGCUUUUAGAUUGUCAGCUAACCCCAUGUAGAACCUCUGACUAAGCAUUUGGUCUGGAAUGCCAUGGUGAGAACACUUCACCAGCAUCCCUUUGAAUCUUUCUCAAGUUAUCUACAAGGUUUCAGUCGGAUGCUGCUUGUACUGCAAUAUUUAAUCAAUCUGCCGUGCAGUCUUGUUGGGUGGGUAGAACUUAUUCAGGAAUUGCUUAACUAAUUCCUCCCAAGUGACAAUAGAAUUGAUAGGGAGCGAAUUUAGCCAAGUAUGAGCUUCCCUGGGCAUAGAGAACGAGAACAGUAAUAGCGUGAUAGCUUCUGGGCCACAUUUGGCUACAUUUGAGUCACACAAAUUGACAAAAAAAAUUCAAAUUAUGGUGAGGGUCUUCAAUGUGUAACCCGGAGAAUAAUCCUUUAUUCUGCAGCAGAUGCAGCAUGUUGUUGGUGAUCUCGAAUGUCUCCACUUGAAUUGCAGGCACAACUAUAGCAGUCGCCAGGUUGUCAGCUGCGGGUUGUGCCUAAUCAUAAAGUGCAGCUUUUGGCACAAGAGGAACCACUAAUCUAAUGUUAGGGAUUGCUGGCGGAUCCCCGACGUUUCCAUUGAUGCUUUAUGCGUCGUCCAUGUCAAAUUGGAGCUUGUGUGGCUGUUGUGAUUUUUAGAUUCUCUUGUUGGCACGGUUCUAUGCCUUGAAUAUUUUCUCUGGGUCUGAAAGUCCUUCAAGCAGCUCUCUAGUCCUCGAAGAAUUUCUAGGCACAGUCUUGAAGUCCACAAGAGUUCAAACAUUAGAAAUUCAAUGAGAAUUGUUUAAAACCUUUGAAAAUUGAUAAGAAUUAAUAAUUUAAAACACUAUUUCUAAGUUGUAAUCAAUAAUACCUUUAGUUCCCCGGCAACAGUGCCAAAAAUUGAUCACACCCAACUAUGCCUUUUAACGGGCAAAGCGCUCGUUGUAAAUAUAACCUGGUUUUAAGCCCGGAGUUGAAUCCUUAGGGAACUAACCUAUCUAUUACACUCUUUGGCAAUGUUAUUGAAAACUCAAUCAAUCUCUAGAUGCAAGAUUUUUGAUAAAAUAGGAUUGGGUUUUUGGUUAACUAUUUCAACUACUAUUAAAAACAGCAGUAAGCUAAAACAAGGAUAAUUCAAUGGUAAAAAGUUCUAGGCAAGUAAUUUCCCCAAUUGCUAGUUUAGGUCUUGACUCUUCUGCUAUUAUCACGCCGUAAAACUAUAUUAGAAUUAAGAGUUAUGGGUUAUCGUAAUUAUCUCUCGAUCAACUACAAUAAUUUAUUAGAGCAUUCUCUCGAACUACUCUAGCUAACAAUAUGUGUGCAACUCUAUAAUCCCACCAAAGUUUCGUUUUCUCUAAACCCACUUUUAAAUUCAAGUAAUGAAUCUCUUCAAUUACAUAAAAGUUGUGUUGUUCAACAGAUUUCUAACCUAGUACUCUUUCUCAAGCAACAUAAGGUAAUUAGACAUGAUUAAUCAAGGGUCCAUUCAAUUAAUCACUAUAAAAAGCUUAGUUGAACAAUCAUAUCAUAAAUCUGGCUCGAUUAUAACAACUUGAGUCAAACCUUCAACCAAAAAUUGGUUCCAUCAACCCUAGAUAAGUGUUUAGCUACUCAUAAUGAAAUAAGAGAAAACUAAUAGAUGAAUCAUAAUGUAAAAUUACAAGAAUUAAAAGGAGAUAGAGAAAAACUCUAGUGUUGGAUCGUCUCCUCCCACUUGUUCUUCCUCCAAAAGUAGUACAAACAAGCUUAAUCACAUAUUGGGCAAGUUUAGAGCUUAUAAGGGUUUUUACAAAAGUUCCCCGAAGAUACACUUAAGUCCCUAAAUUUCCAGCAUUAUGAACAAUGCACCGCGGUCGCGGCAGACCAUAGUCGACCCCUUGCCCAGGCCAUUUUCUGCUUCUUCGUUCUUGGGUACUUCUCGAGUGGGCCUUUUCUUCACAUUAUCGCCUCCAAUACCCUCCAUGUUGCUUCCUCUCAUAUAAUAUUCACUGUGAAACAAAAGAACACUAUUUAGAGCAUUUUGUUGGCAAUUUAUCUAUAAAACAACAACAAAGUUUGGUCAUAUUAAGGUGUAAAUAUCAACUAUAUAGCCUAUUAUCAGUAAGUAUGUGCAAGCGUUUUAUUUAUUUUUUAUAAUUUUUUAGGUUUUUAAACUAAUUAUUUCCCCUUUUUCAUCCAUAAAAUUCCAAUAAUUAUGUCAAAAAUUAUUAUUUGGGUAAUUCAACUAUUGUAUUUUCAUAUUUAUGUCCAAAUAUAGCUAAACAAAAUUUUCACAUAUUUUUUACUAAUUUAUUUUGUAUUUUUUGAAGUUAAAUUGCACAUAAUUGUAAUAUUAGCCAUUUUAAUGUUAAAUUAUGUUUUAUAUUCAUAAAAAUGAGUCUGGUAUUUUUAAAUUGCUAAUUUUGUGUUGUAAAUUAUUUGAGUAUUUUCAAAUUAUUUUUCAGAAAUUACUUACUAUUUUUUAUAAUUUAGAAAGGAAAAAUGGCUAUUUCAAUAAUAGCCCACUUGUAUUUAAACAAUAGCCUGAACUGAAUCCCAAUUCCCCAACCCAAUUCCGAAUUAAACCUGACAAAAGCCCAAUUUUAAACCAACCCAUACGCUGAUCCCCCACUUAUUCUUUUAAUCUAGGCUGUUGAUCACUCAGAUCAAUGGCCACCAUUUACCCUUCCAUAAGUAAACCCAUAUGACCCGUUAACCUACUUCAUUUCUCACCAUCCGCUACCCUUGAAUCCUUCUCCUCUCAAUUCUUUCUGUAGCCUCAUAUAAACCCUAGCUGCCGCCACCCAAUUCCACCCUAAUUCCUUUCAAUCCCUACCUAAUCCAUGGGCUCCCAUGGAGUUUUGAGACGUGUACUCGUCUCACAUGUCUAUUGGCUACCUAUUUUCAUGAUCUCAUGGACAGAUCUCGAAGAGAUCGAGUCUAGCCUUGGUUCAACUUCUAUCUCUAGUCUUUUCCCGGCCAUCCAUGGUUGUUCAAGUCAGAUCCGUGACUUUUCCGUCUAGAUCGAUAACUUUUCAAAGUAUUUCUCACUUACUCUGAGUUGUUUGAAACCUUAGCUUUAUGAGCUAUUCGAUUUUUUUAAACCUACCUUAGAUCUGUGUUUGUUAUGAACUUCUUAGUGUUUUCUCAAAGGUUCUCCGAUUUUCUUUGAAAGUAACUCUUCGUUUUUCAAAUUAGGGUUUCCUAUACUCUUCUCUAAUUUUCAGUGUGUUUUUACAAUUUUACUAUGUUUGUUGCUACAAGUUUCAUCUUGCUAAAAUCCCUGAGUGUUUUGGUUCUGCCUACAUUUCUGAAACUCUCUUGAUUUGUUUUAUACGCAUGUUUGGUUCGAUUAAGUUCUUUAUGGUUGAACCUUUUUGUCUUGUUUGACUUAUCUGAUUAUGAGUGCUUACCUUUUCAACUCAACUCUGUUGUUAAACAUCCUAAUUUCUUAAAAGUUUUUUCCUUAUUUGUUGCUAUGAGUUUGAAGAGUUUACUUGUUUCUGUGUGUUGGUCUCCCUUACCUGUUACUAUAUUUCUUCACUUUUGAUUCCAUGUGACCACUUGACCUUGUUGCCAACUAUGCUUCGAGUAGGUUUCUCUACUACUGAAACCUAGCUUACUCCUACAACUAUUGUAUGUUUAAUUUUCUCCUCUUUGUCAAUAUGUUUGACCUUGAUGCCUAUCCAUCCUUUGAUAUUUAUAUGUUGAAAUUCAGAGUCAUGUUUCUUUCUUGGUUGAUCUUGAUUUCCUCAAUGUUACGACUGAUUGCAAAAUAUUCCAUUAUAUAAACCCUACUUUUUACUCAUUUUGUUCAAAUUGAUUGAUUCCCUUCCUUUCGUUACUGUGAUAUUUUACCUUGAAUCCUUUCCCAUAAUUAAGUAUAAUUUGUACUUAGACUUAAAUAUUUACCUUAUACUUUUACUACCCCCUUAUAUGACAGGAAUCAAUCUGUCUCAAACUGAUUUCUUUCCUUAAUUAAUCAUGUUAGUAUCCGUUAAGCAGUGAAUCCUUAAUUAAAAGGAAUCACUUGUGUUAAUUGAUUCUGAUUGUGAUUAUUUUCAUGUUUGUGUUAAAGCUUUACUUAUUACCCUAUUCUUCACUCGUUUUGAAACUAUAAAUACCCUACUUUAUCUUCUUUCAAACACACAGAAACGAACAAUUGAGUUCAAAACACACACUUACACACUCAAAACUCUUUCUUUCUCUAUUAUUACUUGUGUUACUGCUUUGUCUAGUCGACUGAAAGCCAAGGCUAGACUGUGGAAUAUCGCUUACUUUACCUUUCUCUACUUGUAUGUCCUAGUUAAUUUGUCAAGGUUCAACAACAAUAUGCUUCUUUAAUUGUUUCAUUUUCCCUUUAUCUUGUUUGCUUCUGCUUGUGGUUCUGCAGUCAAGUUACAUUACUAGUAUGUUAUAAUGUCUCCUCUUCCCUUUUAGAUUAAUGCACUCCCCUAUGUUUGUUUCAAGGCAUGCUCUAUCAGUCACUUACUGUGUACUUGCUAUCCUAUGAAUCCCAAACCCCUAUCCCCUCCAAUAUGUUGUGUUCUUAUGGCUGGAUUGUGUUCAUACUAGUAUCUGCUAUAGCUAUGCAUGUCCAAACCAGACCCCUACUGGGUCAUGUGCUUACAGAUAAGUGUAUCCCCAAAAUCCCUUGACCCAUUUGUAUGACUAUGAUUCUGUGUAGUUUUGAGUUUUACUACAACUACUGAUUUCAAUCACCUCUAUCACUAAUUUCUUUUGAGAUGGACUAUCAGUCCAGAUUUUUUAAAUAAAUCUCCUUUAACAUAUGUUAUGUACUUCCACUAUGUUCUUAGAAUCUAGGUUCUCCCCCUCUUGUGUGAGGCUUGCCUUAGGACCCUUGAGCUUCAUCUGAACUUGGACACAUAAGAGUCGGCCCUUCCACACUGCACUCAUUCUGUUUGAUUAUGCAAAUCUGGGUAUGUGCACUACCUGGGACUCCUUGAGGUCCUUAGGGGACUCUGACACACCCAGAUAUGAGAAAGGCUUUGGAAUAAUAUUAGCAUUUAUAUGGUUUAUUGCAUAUCUUAGAGAGGAAGUCAAAGAUCGGGCUUCCUAUGGUUGUAAUUUCUUUCUUUUUUUAUGUAACUCAAUCAUUUGGUCUGUAAUAAUUUGUAAACAAGUAUAGGGUUGGCUAGUGAAACGGGUCGGGAAAUAUACAUAUUUUAGCUAUUAAAAAGGUAGAAAGCAUGUUACUAGGUUUACAUUCCUACUUGCGCAAUAGAAUUCCAUGCUUAGGACUCAUUUCAUGCGUUAGAAAUUAUGUUCCUUAGGAUUUACACUUAUUAUUUUCAGCGUGCCCAUUUUUACUAUCACAUCACUUAGAAAUUCCUGCGUUUAAAUGUGUUAGUAACCAAUGUUUCUACUGCCAUGCACACUUAGAGAUCAUGUUUUAUGCUAAACAACACUAACAAACAUAUCAUUUCUUCAUAUUUUUGAAACCAUGUUUUAAACGCUGAAAUACUUGAGCAUAUAGAAAUCCUGCUUAGGACUCCGCAUAUAUAUCUGCACCUCUUUACAUUUAGAUACCAUUUCUUUAGGAUACUAUUUUUCCCUUAGGAUAAUUAGUAUUGCAUAAAAGGAAAAAACAAUUCUUUACUUAGUCUUUACAACCAAUUGGCACUAAUUUUGUGUGUUAAACACCUAGUACAUCAUGUUUAGGUGACCAUAAUAUUUUGCAACUAUCUUAAUAAUCUUGAAUAACUACUGAAUCUAGCUCACGCCAUGCAAGCCUUAGGUAAUUACUUAAAUAAAUCUGGAAUUGUCUUUAUUUAAUAAUCAGCUGCUACAACCAGUAGGCAUGCCUGAUUUGGACUUCUUUCUAAGCUAUAUAGUGAAUUCGCUUCUGACUCAAGCACCCUGCUUUAGAAUUUUUUUUAAAUUUAGAACUUAGUUGUGUUUUAAGUCUUGUUGUUUAUAUGCAUUAUUUGCGGAGGUAUGCAUGAGCCUUCUAACUGCUUACAUGUUUCCCGUCUAAAUGUAGUCCUACUUGUUUUUGCAUUUCUCCUUAGUAAUUUACCUUUAAAUCAAAGAGUCACCCUAAAACCUCCCUCUUAUAAGAAUAGUAGACCUAAAUUUCUCUGGGGCUGAUGGCAAUGCGACGAGUAACAGCAUGUAAUAGAGGUCGAUACCAAUCUUCACUUUUAAUACCUUCACGGGGUGGGAAGGGUAGAUAUGGACAUGAUGACUAGUGUGUUAAUACCACGUGUAUCCCUUCUUCUGAGGAGUGCCAUACCGGGUAUUGCAUUAAUGUGAUCCAUAUUACAAACAAACCUAGGGCCCCUUUUACAUUCAAAAGCAGGCUUAAAUUGUAAUUUUUUUCAAACCUUGCUUUUAUUGUUUUUCAGAAGCUUGUAUAUUUAAGAUAAAAAUCCCCUAUUACUUGAGCCUUAUUUGUUUACUUGCUAAUUGCACAAAUUCACAAACUAUCUGGCCGGAAACCACACUAGUGGAUUCUAUCUGAUGCCUAACACCUUCCCCUUGGGAUAAUUUCAAGCUCCUACCCUAUCUCUGGUUACAAACAUAGUUGUAGUUGAACCCUAUAGGUGUCCUAACGCACCUUAAAAUCGUUAGGUGGCGACACUUCAAAAUUGCAAAAACCGCUUUCCUAAAAGGAAAGAGUUUUCCCAGGCGAAUAUCACAAACCCGAUUCCGUGGAGGAAAAAGGGGGGUGCAACAGCAUAGCGACUCUAACGAGAAUUUUUAAGCUAUUACCAUUUCAAAUUGCUCUUGUAAAUUUGUACCCCUCCCUAUGUGAAAUUAUUUGUUUAAUUCCUUUCAGCAUUUAAUUGCUUCUCUAAAGGAAAACUGAAAUAUCUUCCUUGUUUUCUUUCCUUUACUGCUUUAAAUUAUGAAACUGCUAUAUUUAUCGCUAUCUUAAUGUGCAAAUACAUGUCAAUAUGCUUUUAAUUAUUGCAUAAGCAUGCUCAACAUCAUAUUCCGCUCGUGCCAAAACGAAUACUAUAGCAACGCUUAUAAUGAGUGGUUGCGCUCUUCCUAUAUUAUUACCCCCUAAAUUGAGAAAGGCAUAUUUGUGGUAAAAUUAGUCGAUCAGCGGUGCAGGCGACAGUUCCAAGCCUUCCCCCUUGAGUUGUUCGCUCAAGGGUACCAGUCUAAAACCCUAUAGAAAACUUACUCUGUUCAAAUUGUGCAUGCAUCAUGGUCAAACCUAGCCGGAUCAAUUAUGUUGUCCACAUAAUGAUUCUUUAAGAUACCCUUAUCCAAAGUACACUGGUUUUCCCUAAACCUAAACACACGACAUCACGUUCUGUGCAUUCAUUUGGAGAACUAAAUGCUUUAUACUAAUUGUUGACAAUAAAUAGUCGACUCUAGUGGCGUAAGGGCUAACCUUAUUUGCCUUGCAAAAAUAUAUGGCACGAAGUCCCCAAAUUUGGCAUGGUCACCAACAUCCACCCAAGAUUGCUAAGCUGGUGGAAAGAUCUACGCUCUAGUGACAAGAAUCUCGUCAGAAAAUAUCUGGGAAAUUUGUCAUCCCUCAUGGAGAUCCAACCAAAUAACAUGAUCAUAGAAACUGCCACAUCGUUUUGGGAUUGUGAAAGGGUCAUCUUCUGCUAUGGGGACAUUGAAAUUACACCUUUGUUGGAGGAGAUAGGAGGACUGGACGGUCUAGUUUGGGAAACUCCGGGUUUUCUAAUGCCUGAGAAUCGCAAAGGUAGGGGCUUCCUCAAAAUGAUGGGUUUAAGAAUCCAUAAUUAACAUGCCUAAAUCAGACAUCCCUUUUGACUACCUGUAUGAAAGGUACGGUCAUAGAAAAUCUUUACCGUACCAACUCUGGCGAGUUCGCCAUCACGUACUUAGAACACGUCCAUCGCAGGGUUUUCGUCUUCAUGUUUUGCUUCCUGGGUCUUAACGUAUUUCCGCUGAAGAAAGGUAGAAUUCAUACUAGUCUGGCUAUGGUAACCAAUACCCUAAUGGAGGGGAUUGGUGGGAAGGCCUUCAGCAUUGUACCCAUGAUCAUUGCAGACAUAUAUCGGUCCUUAGAGAAAUGUCAACAAGGAGCGAAACACUUCGAAGGCUGCAAUAUGCUACUUCAACUUUGGCUCUUAGAGCAUCUCCAAAUGGGUGAAUAUCAACAAGAAAUUCAGCGAAGGGACUGGGAUGAUCACAUCGUUUUCCACCAUCCAAAGCGAAUGAAUUACAUCCCCGACAUGUUCGCUCAACCUAAGAAUGCUGAGGGAUGGCUUGAGCUAUUUGAUAAUCUGACCAAAGAUCACGUUAAAUAGAUGUUCGAAUGGUUUCUGACAGAGGAUUUCAUUGUCCAAUCUACAGAUGCACCUUUCCUGAUACUAAUUGGUUUUAGGGAAACCUACCCUUAUGUCCUUCUUCGAGUUAUGAGGCAAGUUGGCAGGAAGCAAGUCAUACCUGAGGUCGACAAGAUGAUCCACUUUUGAGCCAACUUCCAGAUUGAUUAUAGUCCCUACAAGUGCCAAGCCCAACACAAGUGGCAUUAUAAGAUCGUAAUGAGGAGAGACACCAUAGAGCCAGACAGAUAUCAUGUCGAUUGUACUCCUUUCUAUUCGGGUUGGUUGGAAGACAACUAUAAUGGUUUGUGCCAGCUAGAGUUUGUUCAAGGCCAUAGGAUUAUAGAUGAAAAGGUUGAGGCGCAAGUCAAGUACAACCAGUUGCACCAAAGGAUCCGUGAAUGCGAGAGCAAACACCGUAAAAUACAAGAGUGUCUAGAAGCUAAUUAAGGAAUGGAAAUACAUGGCUACCAACGCCAAACAAAAAGUUGGGAUACUUGGAGGUAGGCAUAGUGGAGCUGGAAAGGAAGUUUCUCAAAAGGGUUGAGGAUUGUCAAGAUGCUAAACGGACCGAAGGUGGAAAUCUAGCCAGAGGAUAUCUGUUGAUGGGACUUCGCGAGUUGGGGAAGCUGUUCGACGAGGCCAAGGAUGCGAAUCUGGGGAAGGUCUUUCUAGUACCAAGUAGAUAGGAGCACCUUUUUCACUUUAAAAGAUGUAAAAAGGCCAAUGGCCAUUAGUAACUUUUUUUCUGUUUAUUUAAUGUCGAUUGGGAUUCGUCUUAUUUUUAUUAAUGAAAUGAGGAAUUUAGCAUUUCAAGUUCUCCAAAUCAACUUGUCGCUAGGCCCACCUCGGGUACAACCAGGUUCCCAAAUUAGGACAUGUUUUACAUUCUUGCACUACGUGUUUAAGUAUUACAAUACUUUUUUAUGAUCCUCGCUAACUUGGUUACCUUUUUGUUUUAUUUUUGUUUUGUUAUUCCCCUCCCCAAAGGUUAAUUCAUACACUCUGGUAAUAUCAUCUUAUUCCACGAGAUCAAGGGGUCGUCCACCCACUCCUCUUCUUAGUCUUGUCAAGAACAAAAACAAAAGCAAAAUGGAAGAUUUGAACAACAUCAGAAAAGAGAACACAACAACAGAGGUCACUGAUGGCCGUGGUAUUCGAUUUCCCAAUGAAAAUGUGUCCCAACUUGAACCAAAAUAGUUAAAAUUCCAGGAAGAGCUAUAUCAGGUUCGGAAUCUGGCCAACCUAUCAUUCUCCCUCAGCACCCCGGACGCCAACUUCCCAUUGUUCAAAACUCCACACCUCCUCAAGAUAUCCUAAAACAAUAAAAUCAUCACAUUGAUCUACCAAAUAACCACUGCAACACUUGUCAUACCCCAAACAACGCUCCACUACUCAUCCCAUAACCUCAAAACUCCAUAAAUGACCAUUUCCAUGACCAUACGGGCCACCAUAACAAUCCCAUAACAAAAUGAUAUUGUAUGUAUACAUACACCACACCUAUUUUAUUUUACUUUAAUAAGUAAGCUCCAAAUCCAGAUAAUUGCUCCGCAGUCAAAUAAGACUUUUGGACUUUCAUUUUGUUUUUCUGUUGCAUCAAGACUAGCUCAAGCAGAGCUUCCCUCGCAUUCAUUCAGCAUCCAUUCACCUCUCAAAACUUGAUACCUUGAGAAUCCAAAAAAUCUUAAGUUGCUCCAUAUCUCCAACCUAUAUUAUUAGUGAAAGAGAUCUCUUCGUAAAAAUGAUAAAAUGAACGAACAGUCAAUCUCUCCUUUUCUCUAGGCAAUGAUGGAAUUGUUCAGUCGUCUAGAGCAGCGAAGCAACCACUUAUUCGGACUUCUCCCGUAGGACUCACUCUUAUGGAUCAAGUUGCAGCUCAGCUAGCAGAUUAUGAUGAUGAUAACGAGUAUUAGAAAGAGUAUAAUACAAAUCGAAACUAUGUAAUGGAGAAAUCUGAAGGAAACAGUUCCACAAAAGGGAGUGCAGUGGGUGAUCAUCGGUGAUUCUAUGGUACAGAGACACGUCUACAUCCAGCGGCUCUCGAAGCUUCUAUAUGUCCCUCAUAUUUCCUUGGGCUCCACCUAUGUUCUUCUCUCUAUAAGCAGAUCGCAGAUGUUGUCGAUCAUGGAAAACUUGUCCCAAAAGAAGUUAAAAUUGUUAUAUUGACAAAGAAGCUAGAAGCGGGAUAUUGUAGGGUUGGAAGUGGAUCAAUCUUGGAUGGAAUUCCGCGAAGGUUCUAGCUUACUGCUAGAAUUAAUAUGAAUCCUAAGCCAGAGGGUGGUCUAUUUUAGGCCUUCAAGUACCCUGGAUGAUGUCUCUAAUAAGAAGUUGCAGGUGCACGCAGAGCAGAUCAAAGCUCUAAAAGAAUACUACAGGAAAAAAAGAAAGCUCUCUCCAUUUUCAAGUGGCUGGAGGACCUUUGGCUGCUUUGCAUCUUCAGCACAUGAAUGCAGUUUGUUCAACACAAUUGAGUGCAUGAUACCUAUUUGUCUUUCGUCUGAUCUUCAUCUUUUUGCAAGCAUAGUAGGUAUAGGAAAUACAGUAUUUUGGAUAGCGUGCAACAAAAAAUAGUGACGAAGGCCCGCUUCGUAGAGGCGAGCAGUGAAGCGCUCACCUUUUUUAUGUGAAGCGACAAUUUAUACAAAAAAAAUAAAUAUUAUGUAUAUAACUAAAACCUCAAUAGCAAUAAUAUAUUAAUAAAAUAUAUCAUAUAUCAAUUAAAAAAUUAAAAACUCAGUAGAUAGUCAUAGUAAAUUCAUAAAUUAAAAGUCUAAAACAAGCAACAUCUAUUCUUCACGCCAAUUCCAAGCUAUAUCAGUAUUUUAUUACCAUCGGAUGAUGCCAUUUCAAUAUUGUUUUGUAGGAAAAAAUCAUCAAGUCAAUAUGCAAUUAAUUCUAACUUUAUAACUGGAAAAAAGGAGAAAAUUUCAGGUUUAAGCUCUCUGCCCCUGCCCACAGUGAAACUGUGAAAAAUUGAAAAACAAAAAACAUAGUAGAAAAAAGAAAGAAGGACAGAAGAAGCUUUCUGAACUGAAGAAAAAACAGCUUUUCUCAAAUUGUUCUGUUGAGUGCGGCAACAAUGAAAAAAAACAGAGCCCAAAAAAAAAGAGAAGAAAAAGGAAGAAAAAACAUAGCAACACAUACUCUGUUAUGUUGCAUCAGCAUCGAUAAAAACAGAACCCAAAAUCAAAAGAAGAAGAAGAGAAGAAGAAAAAGGAAGAAAAAACAUAGCAACACAGAUUCUUUUCUGUUGCAGCAGCAUCGAUAAAAAAUAGAGCACAAAACAAAAGAAAGAAGAGAAGAAGAAAGAAAAAAAUUGGACCGAGUCACAGAACAGAAACUAGAAGAAAGGGGAAAGAAGAAUAAGAAAAUAGAUGAAGCAUACCUGAUGAAGAAAGAAGAAAGAAGAAAGAAAAUCACUGGCCUACUGUCGACUUGAAAGAGAAAGAGUAAAGAAAUCACGAGCCCUAAUUUUUUGCUUUAGCAGAUCGCUUCUGCCCCCUUCUUCUUUUCCUUUUUUUGAAAAAAGCGACGCUACAGCUCGCCUCAAGCUACAGUUCUCCACACGCUACAAAGGCAGAGGCGCUCGCCUCUUUGAAAACGCCACGCCACACUGUAAAUAGCGAUGGCAGCUUGCCUCGCCUCAUGUUAUUAGCGAGCAAGCGCUAUCUACAACACUGAGGAAAUAUGAGCGAGACAAACUCUAAGUUUUGGGCAAGGAUACACAUAAACUUUUUUUCCUUUUUGUUUGAAUGGGUUCAACCUAGUUCUAGAAACACCAUAAGAUCUAAGGCAUUAAACAAGCUUAAAAUAUACUCUCUUUAGGUAGAUUUCUACAUAUGCUAAUUAUUUGGUGAAAAGAAUUCCUUGAGUCGAUAGAGCUUGAUAUACUAACCUAUGUUAAUCCGACACGACAGUUCAGGUGCCACACCCGUGUCGACACGACACUAGUAUGGGCGUGGGUAUGGAAUCUAACCUCUACAUCCAAACACCCGGGUCGGACACCCGAACCCAUGUCGGAGUAACUUAGAUACAAACGAACCUGCCAACAAGACAAAAUAUCUAGAAUAACAGUUCUAUCAAGCACCUUCCUUAGAAAAAAAAGAAAGCACUGUUGCACCCGAGUCUUCCCUAUAAAUACUCAGGACAUGUUUAUCACAACAUAUAGAAUUAAUUUGUUUUGAUUGUUCUAUGCAAAUAAGGUGGCUUCUUAAAUUUAACUAUGAACAAACCCAAAAUCUUUAUAGAUAGAGCCAACAUUAAUUCCCAACCGUGGGGUGAAUGGAAUCUGAUACAUAAAGCAGUUAAUAAAAGAAUAGAAAAAGCUUUUACUGUGUCACUUAAGUUAUAUAGGAAUUCCUGAGCCCAAGAGUUAAGAAUAACAAGUUUUUCAUUACCCAAAAUUGAAUACCGGCUUAGAAUAAUAAAACAGAUGAUAUUUGUCGAGAAGUGCAAAAUCGUAUGGAUACGAUUGUCAUUUUGUAUCUUGAUUAAUUGGAUCGUUUCUUUAUGGAUUCCUAUCCCAAACUCUUCGAGAUGUGUUUCCGACUAUUCCUUGAUCAUUUCGUCGAGAGGGAUGGGGUUUCUCUCGCUUUUGGCAUAGCGGGCCCCUAGUGGGAGGCUCGCACGACGGGCUAUUAGCUCAGUGGUAGAGCGCACCCCUGAUAAUUGCGUCGUUGUGCCUGGGCUGUGAGGGAUCAAGAUCAUCGAGAGGUAAUAUUCAUUCAUUGAAUUUACAGGCCAAAGAUAUAUCAUCUCUAUGGGAUUAAAUCCCGAGUUAUUGCGAAGUAAAAAACCGAUGAGAUUAUGGAAGUAAAUAUUCUUGCAUUUAUUGCUACGAGAGGUAAUAUUCAUUCAUUGAAUUUACAGGCCAAAGAUAUAUCAUCUCUAUGGGAUUAAAUCCCGAGUUAUUGCGAAGUAAAAAAC
Molecule: long non-coding RNA, 15693 nt
Filed under: Nicotiana benthamiana
Lineage: Eukaryota; Viridiplantae; Streptophyta; Magnoliopsida; Solanales; Solanaceae
Description: long non-coding RNA (NBEN_LNC007141)
Source: RNAcentral